This is a non-coding RNA of Phasianus colchicus (ring-necked pheasant), 1820 nucleotides long. The record is from RefSeq and is a predicted model, not a curated record. Lineage: Eukaryota; Metazoa; Chordata; Aves; Galliformes; Phasianidae.
GGGCAAGGGUAUCUUACUGGAUAUCCCUGCCUAGUGGAGGUCUUCUAAAGGGGAGAACCACCCUGUGAAAGAAGUAAGACUGCAGCAGUGAAAGUUUGCGGUAUUUUCUGCAUCUCUGGAGAUGACUUCUGUGGACAGACGAAGGACAAGCAGACAGCGCAAGUGUCUAUAGCUCAGGGCUUUGAAAUGGCAAGGCAUACUGUUUAAGGAUAUCUCUACCAAUUUUAACUAACAAGCGUGGCAUGCUCAGGCCAAUAUUAUGGACAGCAACAGACAAGAGUACGCUUUGUCUCAUCAGUCUCAUGGAUAUAACUUUCUGCUUACAGCUGUAUUUGGCUAAGACCUGUAGGUGGUUAUAGACUUUGACUCAGUGGCUGGGCUUGGAUGGGAGCCUUCUGGCUUACAAUCCUAUGCUCCAACCAUCUAAUCUCUUAGCACAAAGGAAACUGCGGUGUCCCUGCAGACCCUUAGUAAGACACCACAGCUUUGCUGAGUGCUUAGCUAUCAAAAGCUAAGGGUAUUUGAAGGUUUCACAGAUGGCAUUCAGUGACUCUGAUCCCUCUUUCUACCUGGAGGCUGCCAAAGGAUGGCAGCAAAGAGACAUGUGUUAGAGGGACAUCAGGGUGUGAAUAAAGGGGCAUGUGCAACAGGAAAAGUGCUGCAAUAGUUGUUGCUGAGAAGGAAAAGCAUUCCAUCCUGGAAAGCCAACUAUAUGGAAUCCAGUCUCUUCUGCAGUUUGGUGCUGAUAAAAAUGCUGCACUGGCAUCUGCAAUAUGAUACUCCAAAGCAAGAAUAUGGUUUGUUAUUACAUCUGUGGCCAGUAGGACUUCGUGGUGGUGGUGGUGGUGGUGGAGACAUCCUCAGCUAUGGCUGAAUGUUUAGUUUCCAUGCCCCUUCUGUCCUAGGAUGACAGUCAGCAAUAAUUCUUCAGUGGUUUCUACCCUGUAAUUCUUAGCCUCUAGGGAGUAUAUACAGAUCCAGAAACUCGUUCCAUGCAAGCCCCUUCUAACAGGAUGAUGACUUCUAGUCACUGCUGGACUUGAUCUGGAUUCACAUGGGAAAGCUAGAGAAGAAAUGACCGUUUGCUGGAGCAGCCUUUGCCAGGCCAGAUUUCUGUAAUGAGCUAUCUGCGUUUGGAAACAACCCUGGACUGACAGAGAAAGAAACAUAAUAAUCAAUUUGAGGCAUAUGAUUUAAUAAACUACUGGCCACAAGAUCUAGAUAGGAGAGGAAAAUUGAUCAGUAAUGACAACUGUUAUGUACAGGAGUGUUAAGAAUACCACCUGGACAACUAGAAGAUGGGCUGCGUCCUUUAAUUCUGUUGCAAAUUUCUGAUAUCUAAGCAUGCUUUUCUUCAGGACAAGAGAAGAAUAGAUGCCCUAGGGGAACAGAAGAUUGAGCAUGCUGCCCUUUGGCCAUUGGCACUAAUUUGCCAACUUAGUAGAGAUGACAAAAGAUGAAGUGGGGAGUUCACACCCAUCUCAGGUAAAAGAAUUGUCUGUUUCAAGAUAACUGGGAAACACUGAUAGGACAAAAUAGAUGGGAGAAGAACAAGACUCCUUUAUUGUCUCGUGGACUUCAAUCGAAGAGCCAGAUCAAUGUUUUCUCACCAUAUCAAACCUACUUUUUCUUGAGCAUAAAGCAGAAAACAAAUGCUUCCCUUUAACCUGUAAAUGCUAGGAGAGCUUUGUAUGGACACUCAUUUUAGAAAGAAGAAAAUUCAGAGUCACUGUAGACUAAGUUAGAAAAAGAGGAGAUAAAUUGAAUUGGCUUCCCAAGCCACCCAGAUUGUACUCCACAAAGGAUUCUGUGUGUCCUUA